Molecule: ribosomal RNA, 2056 nt
Filed under: Polyplacocystis symmetrica
Lineage: Eukaryota; Centroplasthelida; Pterocystida; Raphidiophryidae
Description: partial 18S ribosomal RNA
Rfam family: Eukaryotic small subunit ribosomal RNA
Source: RNAcentral
CAUAUGCUUGUCUCAAAGAUUAAGCCAUGCAUGUCUAAGAAUAAGCCCUAGAACGGCGAAUCUGCGAAUGGCUCCAUUACAUCAGUUAUUGUUUAUUUGAUGGGUACCUUUGGCUUAACUAGCUAGGCUACUUGGAUAACCGUAGUAAUUCUAGAGCUAAUACAUGCUACACUAAUCCCUGUGCCUUCUCUUUCGGGAGGGGGGCUAGGGGAGCAUUUAUUAGAUUCAAACCAUCGUGGGGCGACCUGCUAUGGUGAGUCAUAAUAACUAAGCGAAUCGGAAAAACAAAAAGCACGCAAGUGCUUUUCCGAUGCUUCAUUCAAAUUUCUGCCCUAUCAGCUUUCGAUGGUAGGAUCUUGGCCUACCAUGGCGAUCACGGGUAACGGGGAAUAAGGGUUCGGUUCCGGAGAGGGAGCUUGAGAAACGGCUACCACAUCCAGGAUGGCAGCAGGCGCGCAAAUUACCCAAUCCCGACACGGGGAGGUAGUGACAAUAGGUAACAAUGCUGGGCUGCUUUCGUAGCRCGGCAAUUGGAAUGAGAGUAAGAUACAUCUUACAUUGUUUAAACCCAUAUUCGAGGAGCCAUUGGAGGGCAAGUCUGGUGCCAGCAGCCGCGGUAAUUCCAGCUCCAUAAGCGUAUAUUAAAGGUGUUGCAGUUUAUUUGAGUUUGGGGAUUACUAACCCUUGGACUUGCAUUUCGGUGUGAUUUCCAGUGUUGCUUGCCCUUUCAAGACCUCUCCAGCACCUUUUUGCUACUUCCCAGUGGGCGGAGGUGGGUACUUCUGAUUAUACAAAAGAAACUUUUGUUUCUCUUGUGUGUCAGAUAGUUUACUUUGAAGAAAAUAGCGUGUUCAAAGCAGGCGGUGAUUUGCCUACUAAUUGGCUUUUCUUUUUAUUAAGGAAAGUGCGACUUGAAUACAUUAGCAUGGGAUAAUAAAAUAGGACAUUGGUUCUGUGUUUCGACCUCCGAUCUUAGGUUCCCCCGCAAGGGGGAAACGGUUCGAGGACCGAUGUAAUGAUCAACAGGGACAGUUGGGGACAUUUAUACUCCAUGGCUAGAGGUGAAAUUCUUGGAUUCAUGGAAGAUAAACUAGGCGAAAGCAUUUGUCAAAGAGGUUUCACUGAUCAAGAACGAAAGUUAGGGGAGCAAAGACGAUCAGAUACCGUCGUAGUCUUAACCUAAACGAUGCCCGACUCGGGAUUGGACGAUGUCAUGGUGGAGAUUUAUAGGUGCAAACUUGUAAGUCUCACAAGCGGACUCGAGUCUUAACCAUAACGAUGCGAUUCGGAAUGGACGAAUUCAGUGUGAGAUUUAUAGGUGCAACUUGUAGUUCUCACAAGCGACUCGCCCAGCACUUCCGUAAUCAAACCACACAGGGAAACCGUUAAGUGUUUGGGUUCCGGGGGAGUAUGGUCGCAAGGCUGAAACUUAAAGGAAUUGACGGAAGGGCACCACCAGGAGUGGAGUUUGCGGCUUAAUUUGACUCAACACGGGGAAACUCACCAGGUCCCAGACAUGGUAAGGAUUGACAGAUUGAGAGCUCUUUCUUGAUUCCGUGAAAGGUAGCGCAUGGCCGUUCUUAGUUGGUGGAGUGAUUUGUCUGGUUAAUUCCGUUAACGAACGAGACCUUGGCCUGCUAACUAGUUGCGGUGGGUASCUUGGGAACACCGMGGGUGGAUCCUUUUGCUUUCGGGUAAGGGGGCCACUUUCGUUCCAGGCAUUAACGCCUGCUGUGUGUCCCUUGUCUUUGCGGACAAGGGGCCCGUGAAUUCAAAAACACAACUUCUUAGAGGGACAAUCUGCGUUUUUAGCAGAAGGAAGCAAAAGGCUAUAACAGGUCUGUGAUGCUCUUAGAUGUCCUGGGCUGCACGCGUACUACACUGACGAGCGCAGCAAGUGUCUAUCGACAACGAGGUUGCUUUUGGGUUUCGGGCUCAUUGGUGGCUUCGUUUUGCCUGUGGCAGAAAUGUCUGGGUAAUCUUCUCAACGCUCGUCGUGAUGGGGAUAGAUGAUUGUAAUUAUUCGUCUUGAACGAGGAAGUCCUUNNNNNNNNNG